GGGNUGGCGGGUGCUACCAUGCAGUCGACGAUGAAGCCCAGCUUGCUGGGUGGAUUAGUGGCGAACGGGUGAGUAACACGUGAGCAACCUGCCCCUGACUCUGGGAUAAGCGCUGGAAACGGCGUCUAAUACUGGAUAUGUCCCGUCACCGCAUGGUGUGCGGGUGGAAAGAUUUUUCGGUUGGGGAUGGGCUCGCGGCCUAUCAGCUUGUUGGUGAGGUAAUGGCUCACCAAGGCGUCGACGGGUAGCCGGCCUGAGAGGGUGACCGGCCACACUGGGACUGAGACACGGCCCAGACUCCUACGGGAGGCAGCAGUGGGGAAUAUUGCACAAUGGGCGAAAGCCUGAUGCAGCAACGCCGCGUGAGGGAUGACGGCCUUCGGGUUGUAAACCUCUUUUAGCAGGGAAGAAGCGAAAGUGACGGUACCUGCAGAAAAAGCACCGGCUAACUACGUGCCAGCAGCCGCGGUAAUACGUAGGGUGCAAGCGUUAUCCGGAAUUAUUGGGCGUAAAGAGCUCGUAGGCGGUCUGUCGCGUCUGCUGUGAAAUCCCGAGGCUCAACCUCGGGCUUGCAGUGGGUACGGGCAGACUAGAGUGCGGUAGGGGAGAUUGGAAUUCCUGGUGUAGCGGUGGAAUGCGCAGAUAUCAGGAGGAACACCGAUGGCGAAGGCAGAUCUCUGGGCCGUAACUGACGCUGAGGAGCGAAAGGGUGGGGAGCAAACAGGCUUAGAUACCCUGGUAGUCCACCCCGUAAACGUUGGGAACUAGUUGUGGGGUCCUUUCCACGGAUUCCGUGACGCAGCUAACGCAUUAAGUUCCCCGCCUGGGGAGUACGGCCGCAAGGCUAAAACUCAAAGGAAUUGACGGGGACCCGCACAAGCGGCGGAGCAUGCGGAUUAAUUCGAUGCAACGCGAAGAACCUUACCAAGGCUUGACAUACACGAGAACGGGCCAGAAAUGGUCAACUCUUUGGACACUCGUGAACAGGUUGUGCAUGGUUGUCGUCAGCUCGUUGUCGUGAGAUGUUGGUUAAUUCCCGCAACGAGCGCGGCCUCGUUUCUAUUGUUGCCAGCACGUAAUGUGGGAACUCAUGGGAUAACUGCGGUCAACUCCGAGGAGGUGGGGGAUGACGUCAAAUCAUCAUGCCCCUUAUGUCUUGGGCUUCCGGCAUUGCUACAAAUGGGCCGNNCAAUGGCUGCGNUACGGUAAGGUCGGAGCAAUCUCAAAAGUCGGACCCAUNNNNNNUUGCAGAUCGUGCAUCUCUGACU
This 1268-nucleotide ribosomal RNA is filed under the name Gammaproteobacteria bacterium. Its description in RNAcentral is "bacterial SSU rRNA". It matches the Rfam family "Bacterial small subunit ribosomal RNA", at positions 33 to 1318 of the family's 1533-position model. Lineage: Bacteria; Pseudomonadati; Pseudomonadota; Gammaproteobacteria. The record is from RNAcentral.